Non-coding RNA from Phoenix dactylifera (date palm), 1178 nucleotides. The record is from RefSeq and is a predicted model, not a curated record. NCBI's taxonomy places the organism in Eukaryota, Viridiplantae, Streptophyta, Magnoliopsida, Arecales, Arecaceae.
GGCCUCCGCUUUCCAUUUUACCGCCUCAAAAAUUUAACCCAGCAUAAAUAAAUAAAUUUGAAAUUAUUUCCUCGCCGACUCCUUUCUCUCCGUCCGAAGAAAGAGAAAAGAGGAGACGCUCCUCCCUCUUGUCCCAUUCCGUAUCCCACCCCUCUCCUUCCUUCCUCUCUCUCGCGCCGUGAUUCCAAGAAUUCUGGGAUUAGAGUAAGGCUUAGGGUGAGGGUUAGGGUUUGGGAGAUGGGGCAGCAGACGCUGAUCUACAGCUUCGUGGCCCGGGGGGCGGUGAUCCUGGCGGAGUACACGGAAUUCACCGGCAACUUCACCAGCAUCGCCUCCCAAUGCCUCCAGAAGCUCCCAGCCAGCAAUAACAAGUUCACCUACAACUGCGACAGCCACACCUUCAACUUCCUCGUCGAGGACGGAUUCACAUACUGUGUGGUUGCAGUUGAGUCAGCUGGCAGGCAAAUUCCAAUUGCCUUUUUGGAGAGGGUUAAGGAAGACUUUAAGAAAAGAUAUGGUGGGGGAAAAGCUGCAACUGCUUCAGCUAACAGCCUCAACCGUGAAUUUGGGCCCAAAUUAAAAGAGCACAUGCAGUAUUGUGUGGACCAUCCGGAGGAGAUCAGCAAGCUGGCAAAAGUGAAAGCUGAGGUUUCGGAAGUCAAAGGAGUUAUGAUGGAAAACAUUGAGAAGGUUCUAGAACGCGGGGAAAAAAUUGAACUCCUCGUUGACAAGACAGAGAAUCUUCGCUCACAGGCUCAAGAUUUCAGGCAACAUGGGACAAAGAUGAGGAGGAAGAUGUGGUUGCAGAAUAUGAAGAUAAAACUUAUUGUCUUGGGCAUUAUCAUUGCGCUAAUCCUCAUCAUAAUAUUGUCAGUUUGUCAUGGCUUCAAAUGCACAUGAGACCAUGCACACCUCCACUCCCCUUCUGAGUGAGGGUAUAGUAUCUUUUACUGCCAGUACUAUAUAAACGUUGGUGCUUUUGUGAUAGACUAGUGUUGUGUUCUCCCCUAUGAACCCUAUCCUAUUUCAUAGUCUCUCUGGAAUUGUGAUGGGAAUGCUUAUGUAUUUCAGAUCUGUGCAUGUAUAGACUAUACAGGAGUAUUUCAGAUCUGUGCAUGUAUAGACUAUACAGGAGUAUUUAUUGUGAUAGAAGUACAGGAGGGUCUUGUUCUAUUUGA